Molecule: ribosomal RNA, 439 nt
Filed under: uncultured bacterium
Lineage: Bacteria
Description: bacterial SSU rRNA
Rfam family: Bacterial small subunit ribosomal RNA
Source: RNAcentral
GAUGAACGCUGGCGGCGUGCUUAACACAUGCAAGUCGAACGGGAAACAUUUCAUUGAGGCUUCGGCGGAUUUGAUCUGUUUCUAGUGGCGGACGGGUGAGUAACGCGUGGGUAACCUGCCUUAUACUGGGGGAUAACAGCCAGAAAUGACUGCUAAUACCGCAUAAGCGCACAGAACCGCAUGGUUCCGUGUGAAAAACUCCGGUGGUAUAAGAUGGACCCGCGUUGGAUUAGCUAGUUGGCAGGGCAGCGGCCUACCAAGGCGACGAUCCAUAGCCGGCCUGAGAGGGUGAACGGCCACAUUGGGACUGAGACACGGCCCAGACUCCUACGGGAGGCAGCAGUGGGGAAUAUUGCACAAUGGGGGAAACCCUGAUGCAGCGACGCCGCGUGAAGGAAGAAGUAUCUCGGUAUGUAAACUUCUAUCAGCAGGGAAGAUA